GGAGAGGUGGCAGAGAGGUCGAAUGCGGCUGACUCGAAAUCAGUUAUCCGUGCAAGCGGAUCGGGGGUUCGAAUCCCUCCCUCUCCGCCA
This 90-nucleotide transfer RNA is filed under the name Gammaproteobacteria bacterium. RNAcentral's name for it is "tRNA-Ser". It matches the Rfam family "tRNA". From Rfam's summary of the family: Transfer RNA (tRNA) molecules are approximately 80 nucleotides in length. Their secondary structure includes four short double-helical elements and three loops (D, anti-codon, and T loops). Further hydrogen bonds mediate the characteristic L-shaped molecular structure. tRNAs have two regions of fundamental functional importance: the anti-codon, which is responsible for specific mRNA codon recognition, and the 3' end, to which the tRNAs corresponding amino acid is attached (by aminoacyl-tRNA synthetases). tRNAs cope with the degeneracy of the genetic code in two manners: having more than one tRNA (with a specific anti-codon) for a particular amino acid; and 'wobble' base-pairing, i.e. permitting non-standard base-pairing at the 3rd anti-codon position. The record is from RNAcentral. Lineage: Bacteria; Pseudomonadati; Pseudomonadota; Gammaproteobacteria.